UACGUAGGUGGCAAGCGUUGUCCGGAUUUACUGGGCGUAAAGGGCGUGCAGGCGGUUUGCUAAGUCUAGGGUGAAAGCUCCCGGCUUAACUGGGAGAGGUCCUUGGAUACUGGCAGACUUGAGGAGGGUAGAGGAGAGUGGAAUUCCCGGUGUAGUGGUGAUAUGCGUAGAUAUCGGGAGGAACACCAGUGGCGAAGGCGGCUCUCUGGACUGUAACUGACGCUGAGGCUCGAAAGCCAGGGGAGCUAACGGG
This 253-nucleotide ribosomal RNA is filed under the name uncultured microorganism. Its description in RNAcentral is "partial small subunit ribosomal RNA". It matches the Rfam family "Bacterial small subunit ribosomal RNA", at positions 524 to 776 of the family's 1533-position model. The record is from RNAcentral.